Molecule: unclassified non-coding RNA, 370 nt
Filed under: fungal sp.
Lineage: Eukaryota; Fungi
Description: partial internal transcribed spacer region
Rfam family: Eukaryotic small subunit ribosomal RNA (bases 1-46)
Source: RNAcentral
AAGUCGUAACAAGGUUUCCGUAGGUGAACCUGCGGAAGGAUCAUUAACAAUUAUCUGACCACAACACUAACGGGGGUCACAUCCCGUUUUUGUAUCCCAACCAAACAGCGAACUAAACGCGAGGGAGGGAACUGACUGGGAGUGAGAGCGCGGGGGGUGUCAUGCCCCUCGUUGUUUUUCAUCUCGCAGUCUUUUCCGCCUUGCUUUUUUUCACUUUUCCCAAAACCCACAUUUAAACCCAAUGAAACAUUUUGACUGAACCCUUUUUCUGUUGUUGUUCUUCGCUCUCGAAAGGGAGGAAAGCGACGCAAGAAAAAGUAAAAAAACACAAACCAAAUAACAACUCUUAACAACGGAUAUCUUGGCUCUC